UAUUAUGAGAGUUUGAUCCUGGCUCAGGACGAACGCUGGCGGCGUGCCUAAUACAUGCAAGUCGAACGCUUCUUUCCUCCCGAGUGCUUGCACUCAAUUGGAAAGAGGAGUGGCGGACGGGUGAGUAACACGUGGGUAACCUACCCAUCAGAGGGGGAUAACACUUGGAAACAGGUGCUAAUACCGCAUAACAGUUU
This 197-nucleotide ribosomal RNA is filed under the name Enterococcus faecalis. RNAcentral's name for it is "partial 16S ribosomal RNA". It matches the Rfam family "Bacterial small subunit ribosomal RNA", at positions 1 to 182 of the family's 1533-position model. Lineage: Bacteria; Bacillati; Bacillota; Bacilli; Lactobacillales; Enterococcaceae. The record is from RNAcentral.